GGGCAGCAGUAAUGACAACGUUCCUAUAGAUUCUCAUGUGUCAUUUUGUAGAAGUGCAACAUAGACAAAUAUUUCAUUUUGACUCAAAUCAAGUUGGUGCAAUCCGUACAAGCCUGACUGCGCUGCUAAUGCUCUUAAUGAUAUUUCAGUUGACAGCUUACUUCAAAUAAAUGGUCGGAAGUAUAGUUUCCUGCACAGGAUUGUAGCAUUGCCAGAAGCAGCAGAUUUUAUAGGACAUAAGAAGAGACAUUUCUGUAUAGAUGCAGGAAUGGAUGUGCAGUUUGAAAUAGAUCAGCAGUUGUCGAGAGUAUUUUGUACAGCUACAAUUUGGCAUAAUGUAGUGCAGCUGGGGUUGUUAUGGCUUAGCUUUUCAUUUGUAUAUUCCUAGCUAGAGCUAGCUAGCUUAAAAAAUGAGACUGAUGUAAGUAAGUGCAUGCUGUUACCUGAAUUCAUUUUUGUAGACACACCCCUCCGUCCGUCCAGCCAGCUAUGCAUGUUGUUAUUAAUGUAUUGGAGCAUAGACUGUGUACAUUUGUGGCCCGCCAGCCUUCCCAGUAAUUUUUUCAAGAGAGCAGCAGUCGAAUAAGGGGCUAAAUCAUUAAGCCUGAGGACUAGGAUUUGUUUUGGUAGAAAGGUUGAGCGUAACGUAGGUUUUGAGUCCUUUGACCUAACCCAUUAGUGGAGUACUUUUUUAUGUCCUGGAAAAAAGAAAAGAACCUUUUACAUUACAUGCCAUCUUCUUCCGCCCAGACUUUAAUUGAGUAAUAAACUGCCGGAAAUGCGGCAGAAUCUGUGAUAUGUGGGGAUAAAGAACAACAAAA
This 821-nucleotide long non-coding RNA is filed under the name Coffea arabica (coffee). RNAcentral describes it as "long non-coding RNA (CARA_LNC006142)". Lineage: Eukaryota; Viridiplantae; Streptophyta; Magnoliopsida; Gentianales; Rubiaceae. The record is from RNAcentral.